ACUUAAGAUGGGAGACUAUUUACAAGGAGUGGAACCCCAUCCUGGACAGGCUGAAUCCCCAUUUUUCCUUUCCACUGACUGUGGACAUCUUUGUCUUGUCUGGCUUAAGUUUCAUUUUGUUUGCCAUCAUAUAAUCCCAUUACUGAUGACAGGCACUGGUUCAGUACCAAGACAGCUUCUUUGGAUUAGAUGAGAUGAAGUUGGGUGACUCCAGAUCCAAAAUUCCAGAUCCUGUAGUGUUAUAUGAAUGGUACACCUCACUCUGCAUGACAUAAUUUUCACAAAAAGAAAAACAAAGCGGGAUAAACAAUUUGACCAGAAUAGAUGGUGACUUGGUUUCUAGAUAGAGUAGUUUUGUCUGGGAGAAAAUGAGAUUGCCACCCGAAAUGACUGGAAGAUUUUGAAAGAGGUUGCUUUAAUUUUGGGAUGAACUGAUGUUAGGUGGGAUAGAUUAGCUGUCUGGAUACAUUAGAAAUUAUUUGAUUCCAUCUUUGGAAACAACUGCUAAUAAAGAGUUAAGGAGCCUCAUAACUUUCACAUAAGUCACCUUUGGCUUACAUUAUUCACUUCCAAUUUUAAGUACAUUUUUUUUAAAAAAAUCCAACACCUAGCAUGUUUAAACAAGUACAUAAUCUUUGUAAAUGUGGGUACUGCCCUUACAGUUUUCAUACCAUUGGAAAGGUGUUGCUGUGCUUUUUCUCUCUGCUCUUCCAGCCCAUCAAACAGACAACAUUUGCUGGUUCUGAACUUGCAGUGAAGCAAUUUACAGGUUCACUUGACCUGGCCUCACCAAGUUUUAAGAUCUUUGGAAAAGUGAUUUUGUUCAAUCCUACCUCCAUCACUUAUAUGCAUGGUGAAUACUUGGGAAAGAGUCUUUUGGUGACUGAUUCCAGACUAUGGAAAUCAGUUUUAAGGGUGACUGAGUCAGCUGCUUUCUUUCUGUCAGAAAGCAUUUUUAAAAAUCUAAACAGCCCUUCACUUUUAACAGGUUAGGAUAGUGUGAAAGGUAUGCUGGUCCUUAACAUAAUAGGCUUUAAUGUGUUCUUAACUCAAGGCAAUCUUUUAAAGUGCAUAUUUGUUUAAUGCUUUUAAAUUCUGAUUUUCUAUUUAUUUUAUUAUAAGAUACAGUGUGAUCCACUUUGCAUCCCAUGUGGGAAAAGUGGGAUAUAAAUGGAAGAAAGAAAGGCAAAAGAAAAACAAGAUAGAGUCUUAUAAAAUUAUGAACAACAUGGAUAGAAAGGCCUCUCUGAAAAUGGUGAUGAUAAAGGUGGGGGUGGUUAUGUGAUAAGAACUGAGGGUCAUCCAAUGAGGUUCAUUA
Anolis sagrei ordinatus is the source of this 1318-nucleotide non-coding RNA. The record is from RefSeq and is a predicted model, not a curated record. NCBI's taxonomy places the organism in Eukaryota, Metazoa, Chordata, Lepidosauria, Squamata, Anolidae.